Molecule: ribosomal RNA, 511 nt
Filed under: uncultured crenarchaeote
Lineage: Archaea; Thermoproteati; Thermoproteota
Description: bacterial SSU rRNA
Rfam family: Archaeal small subunit ribosomal RNA
Source: RNAcentral
ACCUCCUCAAUGCACUGAAGUGUGAAGGGGUUACCUCGAGUGCCGUCUGAAGAAGGCGGCUUUUCCUUGGUCUAAAAAGCCUUGGGAAUAAGAGGGGGGCAAGACUGGUGUCAGCCGCCGCGGUAACACCAGCCCCUCGAGUGGUGGGGAUGAUUAUUUGGCCUAAAGCGUCCGUAGCCGGCCGAGUAAGUUUCCCGUCAAAUCCAGCGUCUUAAGCGUUGGGCUGCGGGAAAUACUGCCCGGCUAGAGAGUGGGAGAGGUAAGCGGUAUUCUGGGGGUAGGGGCGAAAUCCUUUGAUCCCCGGAGGACCACCAGUGGCGAAGGCUGCUUACUAGAACACGUCUGACGGUCAGGGACGAAAGCUGGGGUAGCGAACCGGAUUAGAUACCCGGGUAGUCCCAGCUGUAAACGAUGCACGCUAGGUGUUGGGUCGGCCACGCGCCGCCCCAGUGCCGCAGGGAAGCCGUUAAGCGUGCCGCCUGGGGAGUACGGCCGCAAGGCUGAAACUUAA